RNAcentral lists this ribosomal RNA (433 nucleotides) under uncultured bacterium. RNAcentral's name for it is "partial 16S ribosomal RNA". It matches the Rfam family "Bacterial small subunit ribosomal RNA", at positions 29 to 507 of the family's 1533-position model. The record is from RNAcentral.
AACGAACGCUGGCGGCAUGCCUAACACAUGCAAGUCGAACGAGACCUUCGGGUCUAGUGGCGCACGGGUGCGUAACGCGUGGGAACCUGCCCUUAGGUUCGGAAUAACUCCCCGAAAGGGGUGCUAAUACCGGAUAAUGUCUUCGGACCAAAGAUUUAUCGCCUUAGGAUGGGCCCGCGUUGGAUUAGCUAGUUGGUAGGGUAAAAGCCUACCAAGGCGACGAUCCAUAGCUGGUCUGAGAGGAUGAUCAGCCACACUGGGACUGAGACACGGCCCAGACUCCUACGGGAGGCAGCAGUGGGGAAUAUUGGACAAUGGGGGAAAGCCUGAUCCAGCAAUGCCGCGUGAGUGAUGAAGGCCUUAGGGUUGUAAAGCUCUUUUACCCGGGAUGAUAAUGACAGUACCGGGAGAAUAAGCCCCGGCUAACUCCGUG